This 415-nucleotide ribosomal RNA is filed under the name uncultured bacterium. Its description in RNAcentral is "bacterial SSU rRNA". It matches the Rfam family "Bacterial small subunit ribosomal RNA", at positions 28 to 430 of the family's 1533-position model. The record is from RNAcentral.
GAUGAACGCUAGCGGCAGGCUUAACACAUGCAAGUCGAGGGGCAGCGGGUAUGUUAGCAAUAACAUAUGCCGGCGACCGGCGCAAGGGUGCGUAACGCGUGAGUAACAUGCCCGUAUCAGGAGGAUAACCCGGAGAAAUCCGGACUAAUACUGCAUAAUAUUUUCAGACGGCAUCGUUUGGGAAUUAAAGUUUCGACGGAUACGGAUUGGCUCGCGUGACAUUAGCUAGAUGGAGAGGUAACGGCUCCCCAUGGCGACGAUGUCUAGGGGUUCUGAGAGGAAGGUCCCCACACUGGAACUGAGACACGGUCCAGACUCCUACGGGAGGCAGCAGUGAGGAAUAUUGGUCAAUGGUCGAAGGACUGAACAGCCAUGCCGCGUGAAAGGUGAACGGGCCCCUAAUGGGGUUGUAAAA